UAAGAUUAAGCCAUGCAUGUCUAAGUAUAAGCAAUUAUACGGCGAAACUGCGAAUGGCUCAUUAUAUAAGUUAUCGUUUAUUUGAUAGCACAUUACUACUUGGAUAACCGUGGUAAUUCUAGAGCUAAUACAUGCUAAAAAUCCCGACUUCGGAAGGGAUGUAUUUAUUAGAUUAAAAACCAAUGCCCUCUGGGCUCUCUGGUGAAUCAUGAUAACUGCUCGAAUCGCAGGGCCUCGUGCCGGCGAUGGUUCAUUCAAAUUUCUUCCCUAUCAACUUUCGAUGUUUGGGUAUUGGCCAAACAUGGUUACAACGGGUAACGGAGGGUUAGGGCUCGACCCCGGAGAAGGAGCCUGAGAAACGGCUACUACAUCCAAGGAAGGCAGCAGGCGCGCAAAUUACCCAAUCCCGACACGGGGAGGUAGUGACAAUAAAUACUGAUACAGGGCUCUUUCGGGUCUUGUAAUUGGAAUGAGUACAAUUUAAAUCCCUUAACGAGGAACAAUUGGAGGGCAAGUCUGGUG
This 522-nucleotide ribosomal RNA is filed under the name Pleurocordyceps agarica. RNAcentral describes it as "SSU rRNA". It matches the Rfam family "Eukaryotic small subunit ribosomal RNA", at positions 39 to 566 of the family's 1831-position model. Lineage: Eukaryota; Fungi; Ascomycota; Sordariomycetes; Hypocreales; Polycephalomycetaceae. The record is from RNAcentral.